RNAcentral lists this ribosomal RNA (459 nucleotides) under uncultured bacterium. Its description in RNAcentral is "partial 16S ribosomal RNA". It matches the Rfam family "Bacterial small subunit ribosomal RNA", at positions 338 to 795 of the family's 1533-position model. The record is from RNAcentral.
CCUACUGGAGGCAGCAGUGAGGAAUAUUGGUCAAUGGCCGCAGGGCUGAACCAGCCAAGUCGCGUGAGGGAUGACGGUCCUAUGGAUUGUAAACCUCUUUUGUCAGGGAGCAAAGGGCGCCACGUGUGGCGUUUUGCGAGUACCUGAAGAAACAGCAUCGGCUAACUCCGUGCCAGCCGCCGCGGUAAUACGGGGGAUGCGAGUGUGAUCCGGAUUUUUUGGGUUUAAAGGGUGCGCAGGCUGAAUGGAAAGUCAGCGGGAAAAUUUCGGGGCUCAACCCCGUCGUGCCGUUGAAACGGGCGUUCAUGAGUGAGCGAGAAGUAUGCGGAAGGCGUGGUGUAGCGGUGAAAGGCAUAGAUAGCACGCAGAACUCCGAUUGCGAAGGCAGCAUAACGGCGCUCAACUGACGCUCAUGCACGAAAGCGUGGGUAUCGAACAGGAUUAGAUACCCGGGUAGUC